GGGCAUAUGGUCUAGGGGUAUGAUAUCUGCUUCGCAUCUUCGCUUCUGCAGAGGGUCCCCGGUUCAAAUCCGGGUAUGUCCA
This is a transfer RNA of 82 nucleotides. It matches the Rfam family "tRNA". From Rfam's summary of the family: Transfer RNA (tRNA) molecules are approximately 80 nucleotides in length. Their secondary structure includes four short double-helical elements and three loops (D, anti-codon, and T loops). The record is from Rfam.